CUGACACACCACCGAAGGAACGGUGCAGGAAGUACAGUACAGAUACCACCAUGCUCAUCAAAACAUGAACUAAGUAAGGAAAUAGUUUUAAAGUGGCUAUUUUAGACAGAAUUAUUGCAUCUUCUGCACUUUUCACAUGCUUAUAUAAUUUCCGAUGUUUUUAGGCGCGCGCACGUGUGUGUGUGUGGAACUAAACUAAUGCUGCAGUCAGUUGUAGUGAGAUCUCGGAAAGUUUGGAGUUGAUGUUUAUACACUUUAUACACGUAUAAACAACAUGAAAUGUCCCGGUCACCUCUGCUCAGAAAACUGUGUCUGUCGGCUUUCUACACGGAAGAACGUUCCCCUAAUGUCAAAUUAGAGUAUUUACAUGUCCUUAGAGCAUUGGCGGAUUCAGGGGUGGGGCCAUUUCAUCUGGUCCCAGCUGAAAUCUGAUUGGUCCCUGAAGUGCCCCUGUCCUGUCAGUCAUCUCUGAUUCACAUCAGAUCGGCUGAGUCGGUUCGUUUGAAGUUCUACUUUAUUUCUCCCGACUCUGUGUUUUCACCCUCAUCCAGUUGCGCUUCAACGUUUGCAGAUGGAGGAUGACGUGAACCUGUUAUGUUACGUGGAGAAGUUGAUCAGAAGAUGAAAAAUUGCUCCGUUUUUAUUUUUUAAUGAUGCAGUGUUCUCGCACACUUUUGUCUAUGAAAAUGUUUGGUUUUAAAAUUAAAUAAUUAGUGUUUGAAGUCCCGAGAUUCAUGACUGGUUAUUUUAUGUAAACAAAAACAUGGAUUGUGUGCUGAUUAUUUAUUUAUUUAUUUAUUUAUUUAUUUAUAUAGACUUAUGGUUUUAUUUCUGAUUCAUGACACAUGACUGUAUGAGUACUAAAUAUAAAUUAUGAGAAUUGAGGGUAAGAGAAUGGUAGGGGAACAUUAGGGGAACGUUCUACAAACCUAAAACAGCUUUCUAUUUCCUGGCUAACCAAAA
Ictalurus punctatus (channel catfish) is the source of this 963-nucleotide long non-coding RNA. The record is from Ensembl. Lineage: Eukaryota; Metazoa; Chordata; Actinopteri; Siluriformes; Ictaluridae.